This 251-nucleotide ribosomal RNA is filed under the name uncultured prokaryote. RNAcentral's name for it is "partial 16S ribosomal RNA". It matches the Rfam family "Bacterial small subunit ribosomal RNA", at positions 525 to 775 of the family's 1533-position model. The record is from RNAcentral.
UCGUAGGGUGCGAGCGUUAAUCGGAAUUACUGGGCGUAAAGCGUGCGCAGGCGGCUCUGUAAGACAGAUGUGAAAUCCCCGGGCUCAACCUGGGAACUGCCUUUGUGACUGCAGGGCUGGAGUGCGUCAGAGGGAGGUGGAAUUCCACGUGUAGCAGUGAAAUGCGUAGAGAUGCGGAGGAACACCGAUGGCGAAGGCAGCCUCCUGGGAUGGCAUUGACGCUCAUGCACGAAAGCGUGGGGAGCAAACAG